Molecule: long non-coding RNA, 1182 nt
Filed under: Cricetulus griseus (Chinese hamster)
Lineage: Eukaryota; Metazoa; Chordata; Mammalia; Rodentia; Cricetidae
Description: lncRNA (ENSCGRG00000025975.1)
Source: RNAcentral
AUGUCUGGUUCUCGUAAAGAGUUUGAUGUGAAACAGAUUUUGAAAAUCAGAUGGAGGUGGUUUGGCCAUCAAGCAUCAUCUAAUUCUUCAGUUGACAGCCAGCAAGGAGAAUUUUGGAACCGAGGACAGACCGGAGCAAACGGUGGGAGAAAGUUUUUAGAUCCAUGUAACCUACAAUUGCCUUUGGCUUCAAUUGGUUACCGAAGGUCCAGCCAACUGGAUUUUCAGAAUUCACCUUCUUGGCCAAUGGCAUCGACCUCUGAAGUCCCUGCAUUUGAGUUUACCGCAGAAGACUGUGCUGGUGCACAUUGGCUGGAUAGACCAGAAGUGGAUGAUGGCACUAGUGAAGAGGAAAAUGAAUCUGAUUCCAGCUCGAGCAGGACUUCCAAUAGCAGUCAGACACUGUCAUCCUGCCAUACUAUGGAGCCAUGUUCAUCAGAUGAAUUCUUUCAAGCCCUUAACCAUGCAGAGCAAACAUUUAAAAAAAUGGAAAACUACUUAAGACAUAAGCAACUGUGCGAUGUCAUUUUAGUCGCUGGCGAUCGUAGGAUUCCAGCUCACAGGCCGGCUGGAACUAAAAGAAGAUAACAUCGAGUGCCUGCUGUCUACAGCAUGCCUUCUCCAGCUUUCCCAGGUUGUGGAAGCAUGUUGUAAAUUUCUAAUGAAACAGCUCCACCCAUCCAAUUGCCUUGGAAUUCGUUCUUUUGCUGAUGCCCAAGGCUGCACUGAUUUGCAUAAAGUGGCCCACAAUUAUACUAUGGUAUGUAUUUUUUUGAAAAUCAGAAAGUUAUGUCCUCCUUGCCCCCAUUUCUUACCUUCGAAAUCGUAUCUACAUGUUGCUGGUUUCAUGUGGUUUUGCCACAAGUUUUGAGGUUCAAGUUCAUGAUGUAGUAUUAAGUUGGAAAAGGGAAACAAGCAGGAUGUCUCCUGAUGGACAAUUCUAAUGGCAGGUGUGAUGCUUUUAAGAGCAGCAUUUUCUAAACAUUCUACUGCCGCAUGUGGGUGAAUUUCUGAUCUAUAUCACUGGUGGAAUCUGGUGGCAGUGGUUGUACGUUUGGUACAGCACUAAGAUGAACAAUAAAAAGAUGAAUGGGAGACCUCCUAUUUCAGAUGCCUCUGGUUACACACAAGAAGUGCUUGCACUGUGUAGAAUAAUACUCUUAUUAAGUGCAAUGAAUUAUG